RNAcentral lists this non-coding RNA (29 nucleotides) under Mus musculus (house mouse). The record is from RNAcentral. Lineage: Eukaryota; Metazoa; Chordata; Mammalia; Rodentia; Muridae.
CAGAACAGUCCCAGGGAGAAGACUCCCUC